CGAGUCGGUCAGAUGGUCGCAUCGGAAGAUGAGGAAAGUCCGAGCAUCACAGGGCAGAGCGGCAGAUAACAUCUGCUGAAGGUGACUUUAAGGAAAGUGCAACAGAAAUAAACCGCGAUUUUAAUGUCGCAAGGGUGGAAAGGUGCGGUAAGAGCGCACCGGCAGUUCGGAGACGAAAUUGGCCGUGUAAACCCCGCUCGAUGCAAGAGAAAAGAGUCAAUGGAUCGCCCGUCCGACUCCUAAAUCGCUGGAGUUCAUUGGUGACAAUGAGCCUAGACAGAUGACCGUCAAAUACAGAACUCGGCUUAUAGACCGACUCGCAUA
RNAcentral lists this RNase P RNA (324 nucleotides) under Christensenellaceae bacterium. RNAcentral describes it as "RNase P RNA component class A". It matches the Rfam family "Bacterial RNase P class A". Rfam says of the family: Ribonuclease P (RNase P) is a ubiquitous endoribonuclease, found in archaea, bacteria and eukarya as well as chloroplasts and mitochondria. Lineage: Bacteria; Bacillati; Bacillota; Clostridia; Christensenellales; Christensenellaceae. The record is from RNAcentral.